This 437-nucleotide ribosomal RNA is filed under the name uncultured bacterium. RNAcentral describes it as "partial 16S ribosomal RNA". It matches the Rfam family "Bacterial small subunit ribosomal RNA", at positions 32 to 507 of the family's 1533-position model. The record is from RNAcentral.
AGCCAACGCUGGCGGCAGGCUUAACACAUGCAAGUCGAGCGGGCAUCCUUGUGGUGUCAGCGGCAGACGGGUGAGUAACGCGUGGGAACGUGCCCUUCGGUUCGGAAUAACUCAGGGAAACUUGAGCUAAUACCGGAUACGUGCGAGAGCAGAAAGGUUUAUCUGCCGAAGGAUCGGCCCGCGUCUGAUUAGCUAGUUGGUGAGGUUACGGCUCACCAAGGCGACGAUCAGUAGCUGGUCUGAGAGGAUGAUCAGCCACACUGGGACUGAGACACGGCCCAGACUCCUACGGGAGGCAGCAGUGGGGAAUAUUGGACAAUGGGGGCAACCCUGAUCCAGCCAUGCCGCGUGAGUGAUGACGGCCUUAGGGUUGUAAAGCUCUUUUCUCCGGGACGAUAAUGACGGUACCGGAGGAAUAAGCCCCGGCUAACUUCGUG